This is a long non-coding RNA of Nanorana parkeri, 93 nucleotides long. RefSeq lists it as uncharacterized. NCBI's taxonomy places the organism in Eukaryota, Metazoa, Chordata, Amphibia, Anura, Dicroglossidae. The record is from RefSeq and is a predicted model, not a curated record. The transcript has 3 exons.
CUUCUGAUCAGACUUCUCCAGAAUGUAGAUGGGUGUACCCGGGUCCCACUGGUUUUUGCCAAAUCUGAGCUGAUGACAGUGUUGAACAUCUUU